RNAcentral lists this ribosomal RNA (830 nucleotides) under Acinetobacter lwoffii. RNAcentral describes it as "bacterial SSU rRNA". It matches the Rfam family "Bacterial small subunit ribosomal RNA", at positions 56 to 881 of the family's 1533-position model. The record is from RNAcentral. Lineage: Bacteria; Pseudomonadati; Pseudomonadota; Gammaproteobacteria; Moraxellales; Moraxellaceae.
UGCAGUCGAGCGGGGAAAAGUAGCUUGCUACUUAACCUAGCGGCGGACGGGUGAGUAAUGCUUAGGAAUCUGCCUAUUAGUGGGGGACAACAUCUCGAAAGGGAUGCUAAUACCGCAUACGUCCUACGGGAGAAAGCAGGGGACCUUCGGGCCUUGCGCUAAUAGAUGAGCCUAAGUCGGAUUAGCUAGUUGGUGGGGUAAAGGCCUACCAAGGCGACGAUCUGUAGCGGGUCUGAGAGGAUGAUCCGCCACACUGGGACUGAGACACGGCCCAGACUCCUACGGGAGGCAGCAGUGGGGAAUAUUGGACAAUGGGGGGAACCCUGAUCCAGCCAUGCCGCGUGUGUGAAGAAGGCCUUUUGGUUGUAAAGCACUUUAAGCGAGGAGGAGGCUACCGAGAUUAAUACUCUUGGAUAGUGGACGUUACUCGCAGAAUAAGCACCGGCUAACUCUGUGCCAGCAGCCGCGGUAAUACAGAGGGUGCAAGCGUUAAUCGGAUUUACUGGGCGUAAAGCGCGCGUAGGUGGCCAAUUAAGUCAAAUGUGAAAUCCCCGAGCUUAACUUGGGAAUUGCAUUCGAUACUGGUUGGCUAGAGUAUGGGAGAGGAUGGUAGAAUUCCAGGUGUAGCGGUGAAAUGCGUANAGAUCUGGAGGAAUACCGAUGGCGAAGGCAGCCAUCUGGCCUAAUACUGACACUGAGGUGCGAAAGCAUGGGGAGCAAACAGGAUUAGAUACCCUGGUAGUCCAUGCCGUAAACGAUGUCUACUAGCCGUUGGGGCCUUUGAGGCUUUAGUGGCGCAGCUAACGCGAUAAGUAAACCGCCUGGGAGUC